Molecule: ribosomal RNA, 553 nt
Filed under: Diaporthe longicolla
Lineage: Eukaryota; Fungi; Ascomycota; Sordariomycetes; Diaporthales; Diaporthaceae
Description: eukaryotic LSU rRNA
Rfam family: Eukaryotic large subunit ribosomal RNA
Source: RNAcentral
CGGCGAGUACGAAGCGGCAACAGCUCAAAUUUGAAAUCUGGCUUCGGCCCGAGUUGUAAUUUGCAGAGGAUGUUUCUGGCGCGGUGCCUUCCGAGUUCCCUGGAACGGGACGCCACAGAGGGUGAGAGCCCCGUAUGGUCGGACACCAAGCCUGUGUGAAACUCCUUCAACGAGUCGAGUAGUUUGGGAAUGCUGCUCUAAAUGGGAGGUAAAUCUCUUCUAAAGCUAAAUACCGGCCAGAGACCGAUAGCGCACAAGUAGAGUGAUCGAAAGAUGAAAAGCACCUUGAAAAGGGGGUUAAAUAGUACGUGAAAUUGUUGAAAGGGAAGCACUUAUGACCAGACUUGGGCCGGGCGGCUCAUCAGGGGUUCUCCCCUGUGCACUCCGCCCGGCACAGGCCAGCAUCGGUUUUCGCGGGGGGAUAAGACCGACGGGAACGUAGCACCCUCCGGGGUGUGUUAUAGCCCGGCGGACGAUACCCUCGCGGGGACCGAGGUUCGCGCUUCCGCAAGGAUUGGCCUUGGGCCGCUUAAAAUUGGGGGUCCAAUUUAAA